This 241-nucleotide ribosomal RNA is filed under the name uncultured bacterium. RNAcentral describes it as "partial 16S ribosomal RNA". It matches the Rfam family "Bacterial small subunit ribosomal RNA", at positions 524 to 764 of the family's 1533-position model. The record is from RNAcentral.
UACGAAGGGUGCAAGCGUUACUCGGAAUUACUGGGCGUAAAGCGUGCGUAGGUGGUUCGUUAAGUCUGUCGUGAAAGCCCCGGGCUCAACCUGGGAAUGGCGAUGGAUACUGGCGGGCUAGAGUGCGGUAGAGGAGAGUGGAAUUCCCGGUGUAGCAGUGAAAUGCGUAGAGAUCGGGAGGAACAUCAGUUGCGAAGGCGGCUCUCUAGUACGGUACUGACGCUGAGACGCGAAAGCGUGG